AUGAAACUUGGGUUGAGUGGCUUGUUGCCCUCGAUCGUCAACACCUUGUGAAUUGUAAAAUUGUAUUUGGCAAGUGAUGCAGCAGGCUCGCUGCAGAAUUUUCCCCUUUUCCCUCUCCCUCCCCUAGGGAAGGGAAGGGAAGGGAAGGGAGAAAAGCUUGUCCCCAUAUACUUGAACCAUAUAAUGCAUUUAAUCCUGAACAUUAAAUUUACAGAAAUACUAAAA
Molecule: unclassified non-coding RNA, 225 nt
Filed under: uncultured Chytridiomycota
Lineage: Eukaryota; Fungi; Chytridiomycota
Description: sequence contains ITS1
Source: RNAcentral